Molecule: small nucleolar RNA, 107 nt
Filed under: Gossypium arboreum
Lineage: Eukaryota; Viridiplantae; Streptophyta; Magnoliopsida; Malvales; Malvaceae
Description: Plant small nucleolar RNA R71
Rfam family: Plant small nucleolar RNA R71
About the family: R71 is a member of the C/D box family of snoRNAs containing the C (UGAUGA) and D (CUGA) box motifs. Multiple nearly identical copies of this snoRNA have been identified in Arabidopsis, and it is thought to function as a 2'-O-ribose methylation guide for 18S ribosomal RNA.
Source: Rfam by way of RNAcentral
AACCCAUGGUGAGGGCACCUUUUUAAUAAAUCCUUAUAUCUCUCUCAUGCAUCAUAUAGGGUUUCCAAAUCCAUCUGUACGAAGUAAGAGAUAUCAUUCCUCAGCUU